AUUGAACGCUGGCGGCAGGCCUAACACAUGCAAGUCGAGCGGAUGAAGGGAGCUUGCUCCUGGAUUCAGCGGCGGACGGGUGAGUAAUGCCUAGGAAUCUGCCUGGUAGUGGGGGAUAACGUCCGGAAACGGGCGCUAAUACCGCAUACGUCCUGAGGGAGAAAGUGGGGGAUCUUCGUACCUCACGCUAUCAGAUGAGCCUAGGUCGGAUUAGCUAGUUGGUGGGGUAAAGGCCUACCAAGGCGACGAUCCGUAACUGGUCUGAGAGGAUGAUCAGUCACACUGGAACUGAGACACGGUCCAGACUCCUACGGGAGGCAGCAGUGGGGAAUAUUGGACAAUGGGCGAAAGCCUGAUCCAGCCAGGCCGCGUGUGUGAAGAAGGUCUUCGGAUUGUAAAGCACUUUAAGUUGGGAGGAAGGGCAGUAAGUUAAUACCUUGCUGUUUUGACGUUACCAACAGAAUAAGCACCGGCUAACUUCGUG
RNAcentral lists this ribosomal RNA (484 nucleotides) under uncultured bacterium. RNAcentral's name for it is "partial 16S ribosomal RNA". It matches the Rfam family "Bacterial small subunit ribosomal RNA", at positions 30 to 507 of the family's 1533-position model. The record is from RNAcentral.